This 534-nucleotide long non-coding RNA is filed under the name Fukomys damarensis (Damara mole-rat). Its description in RNAcentral is "lncRNA (ENSFDAG00000022822.1)". The record is from RNAcentral. Lineage: Eukaryota; Metazoa; Chordata; Mammalia; Rodentia; Bathyergidae.
GUCAUUUUUAGUAGAGACAGUGAAAAGGGUCUAGGAGACCUAAUGGAUUUAUGAUUUGUUUGUUCCAGGGAUAAUCAAAUAAAUGUGCUAUGUUGGACAUUGUGACAGGAAGAAGAUGGAAGAGGUGGAUGUGAGGACAUAUCUGAAUACAAGCUUAAAAACCACAAAGGGUAAGAUGUUCAGCUGCGCAGAGUGCUUAGGGUUAAGUUGUGGCUGAUGGUGCAGAGUCCAGAACUCGGCUCGCUCGGAGAGGCGCCCUCCCCACGCAGUGGAGAGUGAGAGCCGGAAUUACCAAGAGCUGGACAGAAUGGCGCCACGGAGAGAGCUGGGACUUGAACUGAAGCUGAAAGUCUAGCUGGGCCAGGAAGGAGGCCGGAAGACAGAGGCAAAGGCUGGGUUCUUGUGAACGAACCCUCCCUCGGAGGCCAGUGAUUGACUUCCGGCCAGGGAGCCGCUGUGAGAAAUGCCCUCCUAUGGGAAUCGCGCAAGUUUUUUGAGCCAGAGAAGGAAGAUUAAUACGGUGGCAAAUGUACC